GAUGAACGCUGACAGAAUGCUUAACACAUGCAAGUCGAUGGGGAAGUGGUGCUUGCACCAUGGUAACCAUGGCGGACGGGUGAGUAACGCGUAAGGAACUUGCCUGCGGGACCGGGAUAACAGCAGGAAACUGCUGACAAGACCGGAUAAGGUCAUUAAGCCGCAUAGCUUGGUGAUGAAAGGAGACGCCUGCGGAGAGCCUUGCGUCCUAUUAGCUAGUUGGAGGGGUAACGGCCCACCAAGGCGAAGAUAGGUAGCCGGCCUGAGAGGGUGGACGGCCACAAGGGGACUGAGAUACGGCCCUUACUCCUACGGGAGGCAGCAGUGGGGAAUAUUGGACAAUGGGGGCAACCCUGAUCCAGCAAUUCUGUGUGCACGAAGACGGUUUUCGGAUUGUAAAGUGCUUUCAGCAGGGAAGAAGGAAGUGACGGUACCUGCAGAAGAAGCGACGGCUAAAUACGUGCCAGCAGCCGCGGUAAUACGUAUGUCGCGAGCGUUAUCCGGAAUUAUUGGGCAUAAAGGGCAUCUAGGCGGCCUUUCAAGUCAGGGGUGAAAACCUGCGGCUCAACCGCAGGCCUGCCUUUGAAACUGAUAGGCUGGAGUACCGGAGAGGUGGACGGAACUGCACGAGUAGAGGUGAAAUUCGUAGAUAUGUGCAGGAAUGCCGAUGAUGAAGAUAGUUCACUGGACGGUAACUGACGCUGAAGUGCGAAAGCCGGGGGAGCGAACAGG
RNAcentral lists this ribosomal RNA (732 nucleotides) under uncultured Leptotrichia sp. RNAcentral describes it as "bacterial SSU rRNA". It matches the Rfam family "Bacterial small subunit ribosomal RNA", at positions 28 to 776 of the family's 1533-position model. Lineage: Bacteria; Fusobacteriati; Fusobacteriota; Fusobacteriia; Fusobacteriales; Leptotrichiaceae. The record is from RNAcentral.